CUUCUUGAAAGACCUGCGCACACAAGCACAGUGCCCAUCUCCUCUCUUGUUCAUCCAAACUCAGCUAAAUAAAAGAAAAUCUGGAAUUGAAACCUUAUCAUCUCUACAAUCAAACAUCCACACAUAAAGGAACAUUAAACCCUAAACCCACCUUCACCCCCCCUCUAUUAUCGGCCGGCCACCACCAUUUUUGGUGGUGGCGGACUACAACAGCAACAACACCACCACCACAGGCGGCGGCGCUGUGGUGGGUGGUGGCGGGUGAUGUCUCAAGCAAGAGAGAGAGUAGUGAGAGGAACGGGACCCGGGCACGACAAACGGCGACAGCAGAGCCGUCACGACGGCGGCGGUGGCACUUUCGAUUCCGACAGUUUCACGGUUAGACCCCCCCCCCCCCGUUCAUUCUCCGGAUCUUUGGUCGGACCGGCUCCGGCUCUGUUUCUGUUGAUGACCCGCUGUUGAAGAUGAUGAUGAUGAUGAUAAGCUGAUGAUGAUGACAGAGAACAGACGAUGGCGGUGUGUCUCUGACGAGCUCCGUCCGAUUCUGAUGCUGUUGAAGUUCGGUUCUUUCAGUUUCAGCAGGUUCUGGUCAACAGUGACAUCUGGUCAGCGUGUUCGAGAUACAUUAGUUUCAGUUCGGUUGACUCGGUCGAACCGAGUCAACCUGGUCAAGCCUGGUCAACUCAGCGAGUCAACUCGGUCAACCCAGUCGACUCGGUCAACUCAGUCAAACGUCGAUAACGUGAAAGACCCGGUAAAGUCAGCGUAGCGAAUUAGUCUACGUUAGAUUUUAUUUAGUAUACGCGAACCGAGCUCGACCCGACUAACUAACGGUUUUACAUAUAGUGAUUUUGUUUCGUAUUCGACGUUUUGAUAUAUUUAACGUAAAAAUUAUAUAAUGUUUGUUGAGUGAUUGCUGAA
Molecule: long non-coding RNA, 921 nt
Organism: Helianthus annuus (common sunflower)
Lineage: Eukaryota; Viridiplantae; Streptophyta; Magnoliopsida; Asterales; Asteraceae
Exons: 2
Source: RefSeq, a predicted model, not a curated record